GACGAACGCUGGCGGCGUGCCUAAUACAUGCAAGUCGAGCGGACGAAUCGAAAGCUUGCUUUUGAUUCGUUAGCGGCGGACGGGUGAGUAACACGUGGGCAACCUGCCCUGUAGACGGGGAUAACACCGAGAAAUCGGUGCUAAUACCGGAUAGCACGAAAUGUCGCAUGACGUUUCGUUGAAAGACGGCGCAAGCUGUCGCUACAGGAUGGGCCCGCGGCGCAUUAGCUAGUUGGUGAGGUAACGGCUCACCAAGGCGACGAUGCGUAGCCGACCUGAGAGGGUGAUCGGCCACACUGGGACUGAGACACGGCCCAGACUCCUACGGGAGGCAGCAGUAGGGAAUCUUCCGCAAAGGGCGAAAGUCUGACGGAGCAACGCCGCGUGAGCGAAGAAGGCCUUCGGGUCGUAAAGCUCUGUUGUUAGGGAAGAACAAGUAACGCAGUAACUGGCGUUACCGUGACGGUACCUAACGAGAAAGCCACGGCUAACUACGUG
RNAcentral lists this ribosomal RNA (498 nucleotides) under uncultured bacterium. Its description in RNAcentral is "partial 16S ribosomal RNA". It matches the Rfam family "Bacterial small subunit ribosomal RNA", at positions 28 to 507 of the family's 1533-position model. The record is from RNAcentral.